This is a long non-coding RNA of Lingula anatina, 653 nucleotides long. NCBI's taxonomy places the organism in Eukaryota, Metazoa, Brachiopoda, Lingulata, Lingulida, Lingulidae. The record is from RefSeq and is a predicted model, not a curated record.
AAACCAUUUGCACUUGCACCUGAAAGUUGCAGGCUGACGUUGCAGGCUGGAAUAGUUGAAAUAAUUGUUCUUGUACUCUUGCAGAAGGUACCGCUUCGAAGCCAACAUGAAUGACCGUGACAAGAAUGAAAUAAUUAACGAGCUGACAAGAAAACUGCAGAGGGCAGAAGAAGAAAAGGGAAAUUACGAAUUAGCAGUUAAAAUCAUCACUGCUCAACAGUUUAUGAAGCCAGAAGAUCAAAUCUAUUGCAUUGCACACCUGGAUCCCCAAAACAUUUCGGCAUUAGUGAAGAUUGCAAGCAGUGGGCCUUUAGCACAGGCAGAGGCCAUCAUCAAUUUAUUUCAUCUCAACUACGUGAUCCUUCUUCCGCGUCCUAGGGAGCCAAACAAGUGGCAGAACAUAGUUCCAUCUUUCUAGGAGCUGCAGGUGCUGGGUGCGUGUACCUUGUGUUCAAGCAUGGAAGUUUGAGCGCAGCCAUGCAAGCGGGCAAGACCAUCUGUGAUAGCGCAAGGUCCAUUGCUGAAGAUUUUCUCUUUCAUCGUAUUCCUGGUUGCGUAUCUCAUGUUUACAAAACUCUUUCGAAUUAUGUUACUGCUAAACAUUCUGUUGGUGUCAAUUGUAAUGUGCUGAUUUGGGAUUCCGACAUGCGAUC